RNAcentral lists this ribosomal RNA (263 nucleotides) under uncultured bacterium. Its description in RNAcentral is "partial 16S ribosomal RNA". It matches the Rfam family "Bacterial small subunit ribosomal RNA", at positions 15 to 273 of the family's 1533-position model. The record is from RNAcentral.
GAUCCCUGGCUCAGGAUGAACGCUAGCGGCAGGCUUAACACAUGCAAGUCGAGGGGCAGCGCGGGGCGGCAACGUCCUGGCGGCGACCGGCGGAAGGGUGCGUAACGCGUGAGCGACAUGCCCGUUGCCCGGGGACAACCGGUGGAAACGCCGACUAAUCCCCGAUGGGACGGAGGCCCUCAUGGGUCUCUGUUGAAAGUUACGGCGGCGACGGAUUGGCUCGCGUCCGAUUAGCUAGUUGGCGGGGUAACGGCCCACCAAGG